Molecule: ribosomal RNA, 492 nt
Filed under: uncultured bacterium
Lineage: Bacteria
Description: partial 16S ribosomal RNA
Rfam family: Bacterial small subunit ribosomal RNA
Source: RNAcentral
AGUGAACGCUGGCGGUAGGCCUAACACAUGCAAGUCGAACGGCAGCACAGUAAGAGCUUGCUCUUACGGGUGGCGAGUGGCGGACGGGUGAGGAAUACAUCGGAAUCUACUUUUUCGUGGGGGAUAACGUAGGGAAACUUACGCUAAUACCGCAUACGACCUACGGGUGAAAGCAGGGGAUCUUCGGACCUUGCGCGAUUGAAUGAGCCGAUGUCGGAUUAGCUAGUUGGCGGGGUAAAGGCCCACCAAGGCGACGAUCCGUAGCUGGUCUGAGAGGAUGACCAGCCACACUGGAACUGAGACACGGUCCAGACUCCUACGGGAGGCAGCAGUGGGGAAUAUUGGACAAUGGGCGCAAGCCUGAUCCAGCCAUACCGCGUGGGUGAAGAAGGCCUUCGGGUUGUAAAGCCCUUUUGUUGGGAAAGAAAAGCAGCAGGUUAAUACCCCGCUGUUCUGACGGUACCCAAAGAAUAAGCAGCGGCUAACUUCGUG